AAUUUUGGACAAUGGGGGAAACCCUGAUCCAGCCAUCCCGCGUGUGUGAUGAAGGCCUUCGGGUUGUAAAGCACUUUUGACAGGGAAGAAAUAGCAGGGGCUAAUAUCCUCCGUGCAUGACGGUACAUGUAGAAUAAGCACCGGCUAACUACGUUCCAGCAGCCGCGGUAAUACGUAGGGUGCAAGCUUUACUCGGAAUUACUGGGCGUAAAAGGUACGCAGGCGGCUAGGAAAGAAAGAUGUGAAAUCCCAGGGCUCAACCUUGGAACUGCAUUUUUAACUACCUAGCUAGAGUAUGUCAGAGGGGGGUAGAAUUCCACGUGUAGCAGUGAAAUGCGCAGAGAUGUGGAGGAACACCGAUGGCGAAGGCAGCCCCCUGGGAUAAUACUGACGCUCAGGUACGAAAGCGUGGGGAGCAAACA
RNAcentral lists this ribosomal RNA (422 nucleotides) under uncultured bacterium. RNAcentral describes it as "partial 16S ribosomal RNA". It matches the Rfam family "Bacterial small subunit ribosomal RNA", at positions 360 to 774 of the family's 1533-position model. The record is from RNAcentral.